UGGGGAAUUUUGGACAAUGGGCGAAAGCCUGAUCCAGCAAUGCCGCGUGUGUGAAGAAGGCCUUCGGGUUGUAAAGCACUUUUGUCCGGAAAGAAAUGGCUCUGGUUAAUACCUGGGGUCGAUGACGGUACCGGAAGAAUAAGGACCGGCUAACUACGUGCCAGCAGCCGCGGUAAUACGUAGGGUCCAAGCGUUAAUCGGAAUUACUGGGCGUAAAGCGUGCGCAGGCGGUUGUGCAAGACCGAUGUGAAAUCCCCGAGCUUAACUUGGGGAUUGCAUUGGUGACUGCACGGCUAGAGUGUGUCAGAGGGGGGUAGAAUUCCACGUGUAGCAGUGAAAUGCGUAGAGAUGUGGAGGAAUACCGAUGGCGAAGGCAGCCCCCUGGGAUAACACUGACGCUCAUGCACGAAAGCGUGGGGAGCAAACAGGAUUAGAUACCCUGGUAGUCCACGCCCUAAACGAUGUCAACUAGUUGUUGGGGAUUCAUUUCCUUAGU
Molecule: ribosomal RNA, 496 nt
Filed under: uncultured bacterium
Lineage: Bacteria
Description: partial 16S ribosomal RNA
Rfam family: Bacterial small subunit ribosomal RNA
Source: RNAcentral